This 434-nucleotide ribosomal RNA is filed under the name uncultured Clostridium sp. Its description in RNAcentral is "partial 16S ribosomal RNA". It matches the Rfam family "Bacterial small subunit ribosomal RNA", at positions 341 to 792 of the family's 1533-position model. Lineage: Bacteria; Bacillati; Bacillota; Clostridia; Eubacteriales; Clostridiaceae. The record is from RNAcentral.
ACGGAAGGCAGCAGUGGGGAAUAUUGCACAAUGGGGGAAACCCUGAUGCAGCGACGCCGCGUGAGUGAAGAAGUAUUUCGGUAUGUAAAGCUCUAUCAGCAGGGAAGAUAAUGACGGUACCUGACUAAGAAGCCCCGGCUAACUACGUGCCAGCAGCCGCGGUAAUACGUAGGGGGCAAGCGUUAUCCGGAUUUACUGGGUGUAAAGGGAGCGUAGGCGGCCAGACAAGUCAGAUGUGAAAGCCCGGGGCUCAACUCCGGUACUGCAUUUGAAACUGCCAGGCUUGAGUGCAGGAGAGGCAAGCGGAAUUCCUAGUGUAGCGGUGAAAUGCGUAGAUAUUAGGAAGAACACCAGUGGCGAAGGCGGCUUGCUGGACUGAGACUGACGCUGAGGCUCGAAAGCGUGGGGAGCAAACAGGAUUAGAUACCCUGGUA